This 1173-nucleotide long non-coding RNA is filed under the name Marmota monax (woodchuck). The record is from RNAcentral. Lineage: Eukaryota; Metazoa; Chordata; Mammalia; Rodentia; Sciuridae.
AGGGUGUCCAUCCCAGAAAAUCCGGCAGCCGCCACGCAUGGCAGGCUGGUGGUCAGAACACCCGGGAAGACUGGGAGUGAGAAAUAUCUGAAGCAUUCUCUUCCUCGCCUCUUGGCACUGUGGAAGCAAGAGGGGAAAAAAAAAAAAACUCAGGGGAACCUGUUGGACAGGACCAGCAAGGCUGCCUCUGGUGCUUGACACCUCCCCUGCUAGAGGAGGUUCCUUGGCUUCUCCUUCCCAGCAGAGAGGAGGGCUAGGACCGGAGAGAUCAGAGCAACCGGGUGCCUACUUGCCAGACCUCCAGGGAAGUGCUGGAGAGCUUUGGAGCUCUGGAUAGGGGUGGCGCAUCCAUCUUCCUGGGAAGAAGAGGAAGUUGCACAGACACCGAUGGCUACAGAGGUGCACAGUAGAGGGACAAGAUAUCAGAUGUUUGUUGCAGGAGGGGGGAAAACCCAUCACACUUUGUUCUUUAUGCCAGCUUUUUUUUUCCUGUCGCUUAUUUUAUUAUAAGGAAACAAGGGUUCUAAUGGGAGAUAAAAGGACAGAGGUGACAAGAUGGCAAGGAAUCUGAACUGGGGAGCUGAAGUGUUGAGAUGAAUGCGGACGAUUGAGAGGUGUCCAUCCGUAGGUGUGAUUUUGGGGAGAGAUGGAGGAGCUUCCUUCAAAACCUUGGAGGAAGAGAAAGUGGUGCUCUCCAUCUACCUAGGACAUCUACACACUAAUGACCUAAUUCAGCACAGAGCAAAGGUCAGUGUCCCCUGGGCACUGCACCUGGUGAUUUCUGCAUUCAGCACUCUUCCUUGGUGCCUUCAUCUGUCUGGCGAGUCAUUAAGCCUCUGGCAAAGAGCAGACUGCAAGGACCGGCCUGGUGAGCACAGUUCUCUUAAGUGGGAUCUGAAAGGGACACUCUCACACACGCUUUCCUCAGGAAGGAGUCCAGAUUCCUUUGUAUUCAUGCAGUGGUUUGCAAAAAAAAAAAAAAAAAUCUGAAUUGAAUCUUGACUUGAUUUCCACUAAUGUAUAUAUAAACUCUGUGUAACUCGAUCUCCUAAGACGUGAGGUACAUAUUUAUCUUUUUCAGUGUUAAGAAGCAAGCUAAAUGAUUCUUUCUUCCUUACUGUUCCUUUCCCCCUCAAAGCUGCUGUAUCUAUUUCAUCUUAUGAUCAAAAAGAG